GUCGCGUUUAGUCACAGAGGAAGAUGAAAGUAUUUUCAAGCACUGUUUUUAAACAAAAUUAGGAGAUGUGUUACAAUGUAAUUAUUGAGGAGAAGCCUUAAAGACUAAUUGGGAAAUAAUCUGAAGACAAAACUGAGGGGAAAAAGAAUAUUUCCCUGCCAACAGACGCACAAAGCACUUCAAUAAUAAGGAACGUUGAAAGAUUGAAUAAGACCCUUGGCAAUUAGAAACCUUCAUGUGGUGAGCUCCUCUAUUUGAGUUGUUAAUGCUGAAGAUUAGCAUCAGCUGACGUCUAAAACGUUUUUAUCCACACACAUUUUCAAGAACCUUUGCAUUCUUAAACUAAUGGUUUUUUUGUUGUUGUUGUUCAACCAUUUAGUUUCAGAGCCUUAAAAAAAAGGCUUUCUGGAAAGCCUACAUAGAAAAAACAAGUAAGUUUCAUUUCUUUUGUUCUCGUCUGAUCAUAUGGGGUGAUAAUAUGAUGAUUACCUAGAAAUGUUGAUACCCAUCUGAGAGUGGUAAGAAUUUAAAUGAGUGAUUUUUUAGUUCUUGUAACCUGGAAACAGCGUAGAGUAGAAUUUGAUAAAAUGCACAGAUUAGAACAAAAUGGAAUUACACAUGUUUAGCUGCUCUAGGGUUUAUGAAGCUUGCUAGUUCCUUUUUUUUUCCCCCUCAUGCAAAAAUGUAAGUAGUAUUUUAUUCUCACAGAUAUUUCUAGUUUUAUUGAGGUCUAUUUUUUAAUUAUUUAAACUGUACUAUCUGUAAAUGGUCACUAGCCUUUAUCCAGACACCAGCCUCAUUUCCUUGGUAUCUUUUUCUAUAAUCUGAAGUAAAUCCAAAGUGGUAUUUUAUUUUUCACUCUUUUGUGAAUUCAUUUUCAACAAAAGGAUCGAAAUAACUCCUGGGUCUUAUGACAAGGGUAGAAUCAAUGCAAUUACUGAGUUAUGAAAGGAUAUUAAAAUAUACCACAAUGACUGCAACUCAGUAAAAUCUGCAAUCUGAUCCCCAACUAAUAAGAAGUUGAAGGGAGCUGAAAAACAUUAAGCAUGGUUUUCCGAUUGUGAGUUUUCACAUGGGUGCAUGGAGGAAGGUCAUCAAUCAACACACUGCAUGUUAGUCCUCUGUUGAUGAGGAUGUACUUUCUGACUUUUGAAGACUUAGGCUUACCUCUGUCUACUGUAAAUUGGACUGAAGGCAUCAGUGACUGAAACUAAGUCUGGUGUUGUAAGAUGUGCUGUGAUGCAUAUCUAUUACUAAAACUCCAUGAUGUUCACCAGGUUUCAGUUCAUCUCCCUUCUCUUUGAAGGCACAUUGCUUACCAGAUGCAAUAAGCGUUAGACCACUAGACCUGAUAUUUUGUGCUGCCUCUGGGCCCAGAAAGAUAAGCACACUUCCAGCGACAGCAAUCUGCUUUAACCUUUUAAUGUUUAUUCAAGGGAGGACUGGAAUUGAACUCUUACAGUGUGUGUACUUAAAAAAUACUUCAUCUAAACCUGUGACAGCAUUAAAUUUUUAAGCUGAUUAUCCCGUGUUGGUUUUUUGUUUGUUUGUUUGUUUGUUUUUUUCCAACCAUCUUGUUAGGCAGUGGAUAUAUUCAUGUUCCUUCAAUUUCACAGGAUUGUCAGCAGCACAGUGGGUCAUCCUUCAAGUGUCAGAACAGCAAAAGGAGGAGGCUGCCAAAACUGGGAAUGGAGAAUGAAAUUAAGAACAGAGUGUAAUGUAGGCAGGCUUCUUUUAUGCCAGCCUAGAUAAUCCUGUUGCUUGUAAUGCAGCGUACUGCCACUGAAAGACAAAUAUUCCUCUCCUACUUUUCAUUGAAGAUUUGUUUUUAAAUAACAUUGAGACUUUAGAGUUUUUGCGGAAUCUCAGUACUUUGAGCAUCUCUGGUACUUCAGUGAAACCACAAGCUACCAUUCAAUUUUUAAAAAUUCCUCUUUGGGUUUGGCUGUUGGCUUUCCUGGCUUAACAUGUUGUGCAGAUGCUGAGUCUAUUUCAAGCCUAAAUGUGUACUUUCAUAGCUAAGCUGGGUGCUCUGCAAAUGAAAUGCUCAAUUAAACACGAGGCAGGAGGCUGCCAUUGGUGCAUGCAGUAUUUCUCCUUGAAAUCAGUUGUGGAAAUUGCCACAUAGCUCUAACCUUCUAGUUGCUUUUUUAUCAGUCCCACAGUGGUGACUGAGCCAAUUUCAAUUUAACAUUCAACUUAAACCACUCAUGUAGUCAUGGCUGUAGAUGCACAUUGCUUAGAUUCUUAAGCUAAAAUAAAUCAGUUUGGUAGCAAUAGUGUGGUAGCUCUCAGAUGUGCAAGGCAUCACUAAAAAGGAUACAAAACUUAACCAGUACCUGUUUGGGCAUAGAUACAAUAGGGAUUUAAUUGCCUAGAAAUUAGGCUUUGCAGCACUCUGCUUAACUCUAGAAACAAGUAAGACCUUAUAAGGAAUGAAGUACUCUUGGAUAAAGUGCAAUCUGGAUAUAGAAGCAGACUUUAUAAAUUUUGCUCUAUUUGUUUUUGUCUGUCUUAUUUAAAUAAUAACCAAACUUAAAUGCACAAAAAGUUCAAAUUUUGAAUGAAAUUUGAAUGCAAUUAGUAACGCCACUGUGAAUUUUCUAAAUAUAUUGCUGAGUAGAAUACCAAUUAAAUAUUUUCAAUUUAUUUUUUUCCAGAAUUCAAUGUCCUUGGUUAGCUUAACUUAUUUAGAAACAAUUUUUGUUCUUCAGCAUGAAGUAAAACUGUGACCAUAGAUCUUAUAGAGCUGAACAGUCUAUUUAGCAAGUUUUCUAUUUCAAGAUUCAGGAGCCUUAAAAUUAUGGAUGCACUGUCUGGAAUGAUAUAUAAGCUUUCUGCAGAAUGCUUGCCUUUAUGAACUGUGUUUCUUUAAGAUUUUUUUUUAUUUAAAACAUAGCUUGUUCCGUUUUACUUAGGUGCAUGAAUUACAUGUUGCAGUAGCAAUAAUGCACUUCAGGCAAUUCAUUUCCAGUUGAGUUUUGCUUUGCCUGAGUGCUUAAAAAGCCACUGGCUUCCCAUCUUGUACCUUCUAAUGCCCCCUGCUGUGUGCAGUAACCAUUGGAGAAAUUCACUGUUUGUCAUAGCUUAUUGGUUCUUUUUUUUUUCUUUUUUUUUUUUUCUUAUUGUUUUUUUUCUUUUCUUCCCAUGAAAGCCAUCCUACGGGGAGAAAUUGGUAAUGGAAUUCACUAUCUCAUAAAAAGAAGCAUUAACAUAGAGAAAGAAGAAGAAUAUUCUGUGUCAUACUUGGUGAAAUGUGAUGUGGAUAUAAAUUUAGAACAUGCCAUGUCUUCUUAAAAAAUCCCAUCUGGUGAUCUCUGCCUUUGGGAACUGAAUGCGUUGCAGAGAGCCUCAGGUGGCAUGGGACACUGAGGAGAUGUCCACCGACUGUGAUGUAAACAUGGUUGUUCAAGAACAUCCUAAGUCUCAGCAUGGCGUUUUGCCCUCAGAUCUCUUUUUCCUUGACUAAAUAAGUUAAUGGAUGUACCUCAAGGUACUCCACAAUCAAUCCUGAGGAGAAUGAAAGUCAAUGAGUCCCACUCAGAAAUGACCACGGAGAAUCUUAUUGCUUCUUUUUAUUUAAACUUUUCCUUCAUUUGGCAUUAGAAAGGAAGAUAUUUAAGUCAGGAGCUGAUCUGUACCACAGAAGAAAGUGUGUUGGUAGGAAAGCACAUAAGAGCCAAGAAUGGACACAGCUGAUAUCUAAAGGGUGGUAAGUAAGUCAGUAGGACUGUGAGCUGACACAGAUCUGUGUGAUGCCAGAUCUAGAUUAUAACUCUUGGGGUUUAUCUGCUUAUCUUGACAGAUCAACUUCCAAUUCAUUUGAAAGUCAAUUACUCUCACACAAUCCUCCAAAGUGCCAUGUCAAUAUAUUUUAUGUACCGAAGUAAAAACAUAGGUAUUUAUUGGGUGCACCUAUAGGAUAGGAUGUGGUGAUAGAAUCUUGUUUUGGGGAAAAGAGGUAGGUAUAGAGAUUCAGUCAUGCCAUCAGGAUGAGGAACAUUUAGGGUAGAUACUUUCAGCAAUAUUAAGACUUUCAAAUCUGUUCUCUCAUAGGGAAAUGCCUUCCUGGGCAUAAGAUAUCUCUUCGGUUAGAUCUGUGCCUUUGUGAAAGAGCAAACUAAAGGUUUAAGGAUGUCAGAGCAGAAAGGAAUAUUUUGACUUUUGGUGUAUCUAGUCAGUUUUACAAGUAGAAGUGAUCUGUCUCUCCAGACUUCAUGCUGGCUGAAGUUGAGGCAGCUCCAAGUCAAAACCCAAGGCUACUAAAUAAUCUGAAGGGCAGGUUAUUAGGUUGGGCCCACUGCCAUGUCAAGGAAACAUCUAACUCGCUGAGGUAGCAGGCAGGCACUCUAGCUGAAGAACAAGGACACCUAGAUUUAGGGUGUCAGGAGAAGGUCUUGGUUUUCAGUCAGCAAGCUUAUUUCUAGGUUUGUAUCCUCUUCUUUGUCCAUAUCACAUAAAUAAAAAUGAGUUUGGAUUAAUCUCAGCAUGAACAGAACCAAGCUGUGGCAACAGACAGUCUGAAUUUCUCUUUUAUUUCUUCUCAUAGUGAUAUCACUAUUGACCUUUCACGUAUUUAUAGCUUUGUAAGUUAAUUACUUAUCUUCAGGUCAUAUCACAUAUUGUGCAUUGACUGCAAAUUGAUUUUUUUCUUGUUGAGCAACCCUAACUUUUAAAAACAAAGCUAUUGCAGAGUUUUAUUCCAAGACAUUAUUUCCUCACUUAGGGAUAGCUUGUAUGGUACAUUGCCUUGUUUUUCUUUCAUGAUCAUUUUAGAUCAUUAAAUUGUUGUAUAUUUAGUUGAUUAGCAGAUUAUUUUGUUUUAGGCUUACACAUUUUUGCCAAACAACAGGAAACUCUAACAUGUAAAAUAUUAAUAUCUUUAUUUCUUUUCAAAUGAUCUGUGCAUUAACAUUCCAUGAAUAACCCAAUUUUCCCUUUGGGUUGAUAAGUAGUCAAAUACUUCCACUAGGUGCAUUUUUAUUUUAUCAUUCAGAAUGUGAAUGUAUUUAAAUUUGACAGGCGGUUUAUUGGUGGUGAAUUGAUGUUAAAUAUAUGAGUGUUUGCCUAAUUUAGUUUGAUAAAUCUCAUCUUCAGUGCUACAAAAUAAUAGCUUGAGCAACCACCAAGACAAAAAAACUCACAACAGGCUCAUAGGCUCACAUAUUGUGGUGGUAUACUAAUUUAGGCUGUGUCAGCAUCUUCCACCAGGAACCAAGGAGAGAUUCCAGCUACUGAACUCUAGAACUUUAAAAUACUAUUUAUUUCUAGUAAGAAACUCUAAAGAAUAUGUGAAUGCACGUACAGUCUCACUUUGCAGUUUCUUGGUGUUCAGUAGCAAAAAUGUUAUAAUGUGACAUCUCUACAAAUUUCAUAUGUAAUUCCACACAUACACAUUCCUCAUAAAACUGCGUUCAUCUACACUAGUUAUUUAUACCAAAGGUUCAGAAUCUUUGCAACUGUCGAAACCAUCUCCUUAUCUUCAGUAUAUAUGUAUACUGAUAUAGGUUCAGUGUAUGUACUGUAAUAAUUAAAUCCAAAGCACAGCAUCAUGUGAGCCUCUGUGAAGAAAAUUAACUCUAUCCUCAGCCAAAGCCAUGAUAACUGUUUGCAAACCCAGUGACCCACUUUCUAUUUAGAAUAAUAGAACAGAAGAUUUCGAAAAUAUUCUUUGUUCAUUUGCCUUGCAGAAGGAUGUGUCAGGAAGAAAUGGUUAUUCUGUGCACAAUGUUUACAAAGGAAAAGCUAAUAUGAUGUGACAAAUUAUGUGUAGAACUGGAAUGAUGAAGUAAUUGAUCUUCUGGAGAUUAGUUUAAUUGUUGCUUUUUGUCUUUCAUAUACAAAUAGACAACUGCUUCUAUUAUAAAAUGCUUUGCAGCUCAAAGGGGAAAACUUAUUAGCUGCCUUGUUAGCAGAGUUCAGCAAAAUGUCACCUUCCCAGUGCAAGGUAUUUUUGUAUACAGAGUCUAGCAAAGGUAACUGUUUUCACUGCUUGGGCUUCAUAUACCUACCUAUCUGAAACUGAAAGAAGUAGCGCUUACAAUUCAGAUCUUCCUAUGGAAAUGUAUUUUUAAUUCACUGGAUAAAGUCUAACUCAGAUUGAUGCCACCUACAUUAUCAGCAUGUUCAAAAUCUGUGUAGAUUUAUAUGGAAUGUACUUACUGUUGUUUUAAGAAAUUGUAACCAUCAGUAAGGGCCUUUGAGAAAGGGUAAGUGUACUUAAAGACAGUAAUCAUUUCAGGAAUUAAGGAUGUUAACAUUUCCUUAAAAUACCUUUUCUUUUUGUGCUCAUGCAACCGUCUAUCACACUGGGUAAUGUGUCUGUAUUACUUUCUGGUCUGAAAACUCUUUAUUCCUAUUUCCUUGAUUUGCUAAAAAAAGAAAGAUAUUAGCUAGCAAGGGAAAACGAUCUUUUUAGAGAACGUUUCUACAGGGAAUAGUGUUGCCUCAGUCUUCCCUUUGGAUGGCAUUUUUUGCUCCUCAGCCUCUUGCUUCCAUCUUUCUGUUAAGAAAACAUUUACAAUUGAAAAAGAAAAAGCUGGAAAGAGAAACAAAGGUCAAGCAAUGGAAUCUCUUCAGUUCUCCUAUCAACGUUUAUGAUAUCCUGUGGUCUAUGUCAACCCAUGGUGGACCAUGCCAGUUUGUCUGUGGGCCUCCAAGCUGAACUGACAAACCUAGUGUUUAUCCUCAACAUUGUUCGCAUAUUUACAUUAGAUGUGCAUGAUAGUGAGAGUGUGCUUGUUUUAAAAGGAAUAGAGAGGCUGAAGACAAAACAAGUAAUAAGUUAUCUUGUCUGAGCUGUGUCCUUAACACUGUUCUAUGAUAUUAUUCCCAAAGGACAUAAAAGUCCCCUAAAGAUUAGAAUGACUUUUCACAUUGACAAUUCAGUUAAACCUUUGUCAGGUUUCAUGCCAUACCUUAUAUCCAAGCACUAACAUGCUAAGUUUAAAUGUAUUCCUCCUCCUAAUAAUAAAGAUUUUAUAAAAAUAAGUCAGGACUUCUUGCUACACAGAUAACCAUACUUCCCCUCUCUUAAAUCUAACAUAAUAAAACUGUUUUAUUUUUAUUUUUUGUUUGCUUCUUAGCAUUUCAAUAAAAUAUUGUUCAUUGUUGAAACCAAAGA
Molecule: long non-coding RNA, 7123 nt
Organism: Coturnix japonica (Japanese quail)
Lineage: Eukaryota; Metazoa; Chordata; Aves; Galliformes; Phasianidae
Source: RefSeq, a predicted model, not a curated record